Pipistrellus kuhlii (Kuhl's pipistrelle) is the source of this 2551-nucleotide RNA transcript. It is a transcript of the gene named potassium voltage-gated channel modifier subfamily S member 1, with no coding region annotated. The transcript has 4 exons. NCBI's taxonomy places the organism in Eukaryota, Metazoa, Chordata, Mammalia, Chiroptera, Vespertilionidae. The record is from RefSeq and is a predicted model, not a curated record.
UCUAUAGGCAAGAGAGCCAAAGCCCAGACGGGAGGAGACUGGCCUCCGGCCACACAACACAUCUGAGGACAAAAACCUCAACGCGCUUCACCGCCGAGCCCAGGGGCAGGGCGCCACCGCCAUGGUGAGCGAGUCCCCGGAGCCGGGCGCCGCGGCCGUGUGGCGGCGCAGGGACGAGGCGCUGAGCGUGAACGUGGGCGGCGUGCGGCGGCGGCUGAGCGCGCGCGCCCUGGCGCGCUUCCCGGGCACGCGGCUGGGCCGCCUGCAGGCCGCGGCGUCCGAGGAGCAGGCGCGGCGCCUGUGCGACGACUACGACGCGGCCGCCCGCGAGUUCUACUUCGACCGGCACCCGGGCUUCUUCCUGGGGCUGCUGCACUUCUACCGCACCGGCCGCCUGCACGUGCUGGACGAGCUGUGCGUGUUCGCCUUCGGCCAGGAGGCCGAGUACUGGGGCCUGGGCGAGAGCGCGCUGGCCGCGUGCUGCCGCGCGCGCUACCAGGAGCGGCGGGUGGCGCGGCCGCGCGCCUGGGACGAGGACAGCGACGCGCCGAGCAGCGUGGACCCGAACCCGGGCGAGAUCUCCGACGUGCAGCGCGAGCUGGCGCGCUACGGCGCGGCGCGCUGCGGCCGCCUGCGCCGCCGCCUCUGGCUCACCAUGGAGAACCCGGGCUACUCGCUGCCCAGCAAGCUCUUCAGCUGCGUGUCCAUCGGCGUGGUGCUCGCCUCCAUCGCCGCCAUGUGCAUCCACAGCCUGCCCGAGUACCAGGCCCGCGAGGCGGCCGCGGCCGUGGCGGCGGUGGCGGCGGGCCGCAGCCCGGAGGCUGUGCGCGACGACCCGGUGCUGCGGCGCCUGGAGUACUUCUGCAUCGCCUGGUUCAGCUUCGAGGUGUCCUCGCGCCUCCUGCUGGCGCCCAGCCCGCGCAACUUCUUCUGCCACCCGCUCAACCUCAUCGACAUCGUGUCCGUGCUGCCCUUCUACCUCACGCUGAUGGCCGGCGCGGCGCUCGGCGACCAGGGGGGCGCGGGCGGCGAGGAUCUGGGUGACCUGGGCAAGGUGGUGCAGGUGUUCCGCCUCAUGCGCAUCUUCCGCGUGCUCAAGCUGGCGCGCCACUCCACCGGCCUGCGCUCCCUGGGCGCCACCCUCAAGCACAGCUACCGCGAGGUGGGCAUCUUACUGCUGUACCUGGCCGUGGGCGUGUCGGUGUUCUCCGGAGUGGCCUACACAGCCGAGAAGGAGGAGGACGUGGGCUUCGACACCAUCCCCGCCUGCUGGUGGUGGGGCACGGUGAGCAUGACCACCGUGGGCUAUGGGGACGUGGUGCCCGUGACGGUGGCUGGCAAGCUGGCGGCCUCGGGCUGCAUCCUCGGGGGCAUCCUGGUGGUGGCGCUCCCCAUCACCAUCAUCUUCAAUAAGUUCUCCCACUUCUACCGGCGCCAGAAGGCGCUGGAAGCCGCGGUGCGCAACAGCGGCCACCAGGAGUUUGAAGACUUGCUGAGCAGCGUGGAUGGGGUGUCGGAGGGGUCCCUGGAGACAUCCCGAGAGACCUCCCAGGAGGGAAGGUCUGCAGACCUGGAGGCCCAGGCCCCUGGUGAGCCUCCAAACUCUAAGAUUUAUUAAAACCAGGGCUCAUGUUUCCCUCCCCACACUGCUACACUCAGCUACAACAGACCAGAGAUCCGUCCCCUGCUGAAGUUCUGCUCAGGGUCACUCAUCCUGGCCUGAGAAUUGACACCCAGAAGCUGGGCCCCUUCCUCCAAAGGCUCAGGGAAGGACAGUGUCACCCUAGAGCACAUGAUGUGAGCUCAAAGAGCGACCCAGAGACCUUUAUAAACAAACCAAAGCCAUCCGGGAAGCAGCAUGAGCCAGAGGGAGAAAGUCGAAAGGAUGCUAACCAUUCCUUGCCACCUGCUAUUAGCUAGAUCACAUAUGGCCCUACGUCGUUGGAGGGUGAGAAUUAGCCCCAUUUCACAGACGAGGAAACGAAGGCUCAGAGAGGCGCAAUGACUGGCUGGAAUGGCACGCAACUAGAAGUGGUAGGGUCAAGUUUAGAAUCCAUGCUUAUUGGUCUGCCAACGGUGUUUCUUCCACUCUGUCUUCCCUCACGAAGCUUGCAUAGGGUUUUAGUAGGUGUGUGGACCCCUAGGGUUGAUCUACUUAGCUCCGUCUGUCAGAGAGAGGGAAAGGAUGAGACGGGGGAUUCAGAUGUAGGAGCCCUGGACCUCACUUGUGGUUCUUUUCCAGGAGCGUCCGAAGGACUCGGCUCCCUAAGAUGAGGCCCGGGAGGAAGGGGAGCUACCUCCGUAGCUGCUGUGAGAUUUGUGAAGCAGUAGCUGUAGCUUCCUCCCGGGGCUGGCUUGAGGUACAGAGAAGGGGCCCUGUCCUGAGGCCUGAAGUCUAGCUCUAGUUCUACUGGGACCUGAUUUGUGAAGUGGGCAAGUCCCUGCCCAUCUCCAGGUUUCAGCCAUUCCGUGAGAUGGUCACAGUCAGCCUAGACCACAUGUGUCAAACACAAGGCCCGCGGGCCAAAUCCGUCCCGCCAGGCCUUGCAAU